RNAcentral lists this ribosomal RNA (441 nucleotides) under uncultured bacterium. RNAcentral describes it as "partial 16S ribosomal RNA". It matches the Rfam family "Bacterial small subunit ribosomal RNA", at positions 339 to 795 of the family's 1533-position model. The record is from RNAcentral.
CUACGGGGUGCAGCAGUCAAGAAUUUUCCUCAAUGGCCGAAAGGCUGAAGGAGCGACGCCGCGUGUCUGAAGACGCUCUUCGGAGUGUAAAGGACUUUUAUUAGGGACGAAUCAAUGACGGUACCUAAUGAAUAAGGGGCUGCUAACCUCGUGCCAGCAGCAGCGGUAAUACGAGGGCCCCAAGCAUUAUCCGGAUUUAUUGGGCGUAAAGCGUCCGUAGGUUGUUUAUCGCAUCUCCUGUUAAAUCAUCAGGCUUAACUUGGUGGCAGCAGGAGAGAUGGAUAGACUAGAGGAUGGGAGAGGCAAGCGGAAUUGCUGGUGUAGGGGUUAAAUCCGUUAAUAUCAGCAGGAACACCAAAUGCGAAGGCAGCUUGCUAGAACAUACCUAACACUCAAGGACGAAAGCGUGGGGAGCGAAUGGGAUUAGAUACCCUGGUAGUC